This 106-nucleotide non-coding RNA is filed under the name Emiliania huxleyi. Lineage: Eukaryota; Haptophyta; Isochrysidales; Noelaerhabdaceae. The record is from RNAcentral.
UAAUAAUACACACAGACUGUCGUCGUUUAAUUAAUAUAAUUAAUUAUUUAACCGACAGCGUCUCAUUUCUCCCGGAAAUUAAUAUAAUUAAUUAUUUAAUUGCGUC